UAACCUCGAGCCGGGUUCCGAACUGGACGACUCGAGUGCGGUAGAGGCAGAUGGAAUUCCCGGUGUAGCGGUGGAAUGCGCAGAUAUCGGGAAGAACACCAACGGCGAAGGCAGUCUGCUGGGCCGUCACUGACGCUGAGGCGCGAAAGCUGGGGGAGCGAACAGGAUUAGAUACCCUGGUAGUCCCAGCCGUAAACGAGAGC
This 203-nucleotide ribosomal RNA is filed under the name uncultured Eggerthella sp. Its description in RNAcentral is "partial 16S ribosomal RNA". It matches the Rfam family "Bacterial small subunit ribosomal RNA", at positions 610 to 813 of the family's 1533-position model. The record is from RNAcentral. Lineage: Bacteria; Bacillati; Actinomycetota; Coriobacteriia; Eggerthellales; Eggerthellaceae.